GCACAGGUGUGAGCAAUUCACUCGUGCCACCAGAAAAACAUAACCUCAUUUAAGGGCUGGCGGCCACAAGGCAUAUACUUCUAUUUGGAGAUCCCCUCCUUUUUCAGUAUGCUCUGAUCCUUGGAAAUGUGAUUCCUAAAAGCAGAGCUGCUUGCAAAACAAAUGGAAGAAAUUGCCUUCAUUAGGCUUCCCUCCUCACCCCUCAAUGAGAACCUCUGGAGUUGUACCAUGCAGCUCCAUUGCUUCAUGCAGCAGUGCUCUGGCUGUGAGUUCCAGUAAUCUGACUACCCAGCUCGGUUCCUGUGAAGGUCAAUACAUGUGCUCACUACCAGCGGGAUUUGUCCCCUUUGCUUUAUGCCCGUGCCAUCACUGACACCUGCCCUUGCAGUCUGUGCCCCCACACACCAAGCAUUGCAGACCAGCACAACCAUAUCUGAACUCCCUCUGAGCAGCUGCGUGCUCACAAGGGUUGUGGAGUAUCUGCUGGGGUUGCUUUGCACCAACAUCCUCCUGGCCACGGUGCUGUGAGCUCCAAUGUGUCAA
This is a long non-coding RNA of Tympanuchus pallidicinctus (lesser prairie-chicken), 543 nucleotides long. RefSeq lists it as uncharacterized. The record is from RefSeq and is a predicted model, not a curated record. The transcript has 4 exons. NCBI's taxonomy places the organism in Eukaryota, Metazoa, Chordata, Aves, Galliformes, Phasianidae.